This 484-nucleotide ribosomal RNA is filed under the name uncultured bacterium. Its description in RNAcentral is "partial 16S ribosomal RNA". It matches the Rfam family "Bacterial small subunit ribosomal RNA", at positions 30 to 507 of the family's 1533-position model. The record is from RNAcentral.
AUUGAACGCUGGCGGCAGGCCUAACACAUGCAAGUCGAGCGGAUGAAGGGAGCUUGCUCCUGGAUUCAGCGGCGGACGGGUGAGUAAUGCCUAGGAAUCUGCCUGGUAGUGGGGGAUAACGUCCGGAAACGGGCGCUAAUACCGCAUACGUCCUGAGGGAGAAAGUGGGGGAUCUUCGGACCUCACGCUAUCAGAUGAGCCUAGGUCGGAUUAGCUAGUUGGUGGGGUAAAGGCCUACCAAGGCGACGAUCCGUAACUGGUCUGAGAGGAUGAUCAGUCACACUGGAACUGAGACACGGUCCAGACUCCUACGGGAGGCAGCAGUGGGGAAUAUUGGACAAUGGGCGAAAGCCUGAUCCAGCCAUGCCGCGUGUGUGAAGAAGGUCUUCGGAUUGUAAAGCACGUUAAGUUGGGAGGAAGGGCAGUAAGUUAAUACCUUGCUGUUUUGACGGUACCAACAGAAUAAGCACCGGCUAACUUCGUG